Molecule: long non-coding RNA, 619 nt
Organism: Sphaerodactylus townsendi
Lineage: Eukaryota; Metazoa; Chordata; Lepidosauria; Squamata; Sphaerodactylidae
Exons: 4
Source: RefSeq, a predicted model, not a curated record
CGGUUUGCUUGUGCUUUCAUUUCCUGCCUCCUCCCGGCUCCCUGUUGUGCCACCAGCUGUUGGGAGUUUCGCAUGAGAAGGGGGGGGGGCUCUUGGGUCCUCAUCUCCCCCCCCCCCAGAAAAAAGACAUGGAGCUUCAAUUCCUGUGCCUCCGAGACCAGCUGGUGGCUGCUUUGAUACAGAGUCCUGCCGAGCUCAACCCAGAGUCUUUGCAGCGGCUGGUGGAGAUGUCUCUGCCCCCGGCGAAGAAGUACCGAGAGAUCGACGUGAAGGGCAUCAUACGGGCCAAUACUCAGGGAGAGGCCAAAAAAAAAACUCUGGCAGAUGAUCCUAGAGCCGCUCUGGAACAUCCUCUUUUGAAAAAAAAUACCGGAUGCGCAACCUCUUGAACCCGCAAGACAAGCUAAGCGGGCUUCAUGGCGCUGCCGGUCAAGUCUCUAACAACCUCCGCCUUCCUCCGCUGACACAGUCGACACGAUCCAGGGCGGACGGGACGUCCUUCGCCUCUAUGGCUACUCAGAAGAACAGAGCGAUGGACUCUGCUUCCCUGAGGGCCUGCAGGAACCGGACACCCUCCGAGUCGCCUCCAUCACUGUGGACGUCAUGCUGUUACGAGCCG